RNAcentral lists this ribosomal RNA (837 nucleotides) under uncultured archaeon. Its description in RNAcentral is "bacterial SSU rRNA". It matches the Rfam family "Archaeal small subunit ribosomal RNA", at positions 85 to 922 of the family's 1478-position model. The record is from RNAcentral.
ACUGCUCAGUAACACGUGGAUAACCUGCCCUUAGGUUUGGCAUAACUCCGGGAAACUGGAGAUAAUUCCGAAUAGGUCAAAUAUGCUGGAAUGCUUUUUGGCCAAAAGACCUCGGUUGCCUAAGGAUGGAUCUGCGGUCUAUCAGGUAGUAGUGGGUGUAACGUACCUACUAGCCUACGACGGAUAUGGGUUGUGAGAGCAAGAGCCCAGAGAUGGAUUCUGAGACAUGAAUCCAGGCCCUACGGGGCGCAGCAGGCGCGAAAACUUUACAAUGCGGGAAACCGCGAUAAGGGGACACCGAGUGCCAGCAUUUAUGUUGGCUGUCCACAUGUGUAAACGGCAUGUGUUAGCAAGGGCCGGGCAAGACCGGUGCCAGCCGCCGCGGUAACACCGGCGGCCCGAGUGGUAAUCACUUUUAUUGGGUCUAAAGGGUCCGUAGCCGGUUUGAUCAGUUCUUCGGGAAAUCAGACAGCUCAACUGUUAGGCUUCCGGGGAAUACUGUCAGACUUGGGACCGGGAGAGGUAAGAGGUACUACAGGGGUAGGAGUGAAAUCUUGUAAUCCCUGUGGGACCACCAGUGGCGAAGGCGUCUUACCAGAACGGGUCCGACGGUGAGGGACGAAAGCUGGGGGCACGAACCGGAUUAGAUACCCGGGUAGUCCCAGCCGUAAACGAUGUUCGCUAGGUGUCAGGGGCGGUGCGACCGCUUCUGGUGCCGUAGGGAAGCCGUGAAGCGAACCACCUGGGAAGUACGGCCGCAAGGCUGAAACUUAAAGGAAUUGGCGGGGGAGCACUACAACGGGUGGAGCCUGCGGUUUAAUUGGAUUCAACGCCGGG